UUUAAUGAACCUCUACAGCUAAGUCUAAAAUAAUUUGUGUUAAUGACUUUCCUACAGAGCCACCAUUAAUGCUCAGAUCAGUGUUCUCAGAAAAGUUAUAUCUUAUGUGAACUCUUACUCUGAAUAUGAAAAAGUAAACUCUUUCUUUCAGUCAAUAAAUAUUACUUCUAACCACCAAGCAGUAGAACAAGUAGAGUAAAGAAGAGAUUCAAGCCAACUUGUACUGGCAUGAAAAAGUAAAGCCGACAGUUGUAUCUUGGUUCAAACAAAACAUUAAUGAGUGAGCACCAGGUUCACCGUAAUCUGCCAGUUUCUUUUGCUAAAAUAAUUUGAUUAUCAUGUAGUAAUUGCCAAGAUUUAUCGGUAAAUUUCUAUUGUCAUAGUU
This is a long non-coding RNA of Limulus polyphemus (Atlantic horseshoe crab), 385 nucleotides long. RefSeq lists it as uncharacterized. The record is from RefSeq and is a predicted model, not a curated record. NCBI's taxonomy places the organism in Eukaryota, Metazoa, Arthropoda, Merostomata, Xiphosura, Limulidae. The transcript has 2 exons.